This 71-nucleotide transfer RNA is filed under the name Loxodonta africana (African savanna elephant). It matches the Rfam family "tRNA". Rfam says of the family: Transfer RNA (tRNA) molecules are approximately 80 nucleotides in length. Their secondary structure includes four short double-helical elements and three loops (D, anti-codon, and T loops). The record is from Rfam by way of RNAcentral. Lineage: Eukaryota; Metazoa; Chordata; Mammalia; Proboscidea; Elephantidae.
GUAAUGGUGGUUCAGUGGUAGAAUUCUCACCUUCCAUGCAGGAGACCCGGGUUCAAUUCCCAGCCAAUGCA